GACGUGAGUCAACCAAGCGAGAAGUUCCAUCUGGAAACUCGGGCAUGAGGUUUAAAUGUGGUCUGCUCUGCCUCAGGCUGGCUGUGACCUUGAGCUGGUGAUGUCCCUGCCUCAGUUUCCUCACCUUCUGAUGGAGAUGGGAGGGGAAGAAAGCAGCUGCUUCUGGGUGGUGGCAGAGAUGCCCAUGUCUAGGACCUCCAGGCCUUAACUAAUCAGGGGCACUGAUGAAGCCAGCGGGGCUCCACUGGGGACCACAGGCAAGACUGGGCCAGGACGAGGCGGUCACGCAGAGUCCCUAGAGCGUCCAAGAUUUUUGGUUUCAAACCAAUUUCCUGCUGACCAGAAUGAAAUGGAGCCACAUUCCAGCACGAUGCACCUGCUGACCUCCUGCAAGUCAGGGACCUUCUCUGCCCCUCUUUUGCUCCGCUGCAGGAGGGAGAAGCUGGGAAUGUGUUCCUCUGGGGUCCCAUCACCUCCAGCCAGCCACUGUCCCUGUCUCCCCAAAAACCUCCUCGUUGUCCCUCCUCUGUCCUCCUCCUCCUCCAUCUGCCUUCGCCCUGCUCUCCUCUUUUUCGCCUGAGGUUCGUGCUGCCUCCUCACCUCUUGUCCUGUUUCUCCCUUCUCUCUGCUCCCUCCUUUGAUCUUGCUAUUUUGCUUCUCUUUCCCUUCCUCUCUUCUCCUCCCUCCCCUUCCUCCCUGCUCCCUGCCUCAGCUUCUCAGUCUCUCUCCGUUCUUCCUCUAGCUUCCUUCCCUCCCCAGAAGACCCAGCCCUUCCUAGAGCCCCAGAAGCCAGGGUUCAUGCCCCAGCUCUCUACCCGCACAUGCUGUGCAACCCUGGGCCAGUCACUGGUCUCUUGGGCCUCAGUUCAACAGAUGGCUGUCUUGGUGAUGUGAGAUCAUAGGGUGGAAGCACCCAGAAUGGUGCCAGGCACUCAAAAAUUUUUUUCUUUUCCUUUUUAAGGAACUACUAACCGUGAGGUUAUGGAUUACCAAACCGUUCCUGUUCUUGGAAUCUGGGUCCUACUAUUCCCAAGAAUUUGAAUUACCACGGGUCCCUGGGGAUGUAAGGGGAUGAGGCUUCUGAUGUACUUUGGGAGGGGGAGGAGUGGAAAGAGGAGUUGGGAGGACACUCUAGCAUUGCCCAGAGGGCAGAGGACAUUCUGCCUAUUUCCAGAGGUUAUUGACCCUGGAUCUCUUUUAUGGAGUUCCUCACCCAGGCCCCUUGAGCUUGGCCAUACUUGAGGCAAUGGGAUAUCUUCCUUCUCCUGGAGCCCCUUGAAUCUUAGGCCUCAGGAACACACAGUCUACCUGGUUUCUUCGCUGCACCCACGGAGGACAGCCCCCAUACUCCUUGCUUACAACCAGCAAAGACUCCACAGCCAUCCCUGCACACGACUCAGGCUCCUUGGCUUGGCACUCAAGGCUCUUUGCCUUCCUGUCCUGCUUUGCUUCCAGCUGCAAAGAUGGUGGCUUCCUGUUUUCCUCUUCGUUUCCUUUGCUUAAGUUGAUUCUCAGCCAGACAUGCUUUCCCCCUGCACGCUUCCCUAAGCCAUCCUAUCUGGGACCCUGACCCAAUCAAUGGUUCCCUAAUGCACCUUUGAGACCAAGUGUACCUGGCACCUCCUCUCUUGCCCCACUAUCUGCUCACAUGACCCUCUGCAGGCCUGUAAGCUGCUGGAGGCUCCAAGUAUGCCUCAUUCAUGUCUAUCCCCCUUACUAGGCCCAGACCAUGGAAGACACUCAAUAAAAAGUAAGUGAUUAAAUGACAACCUCUACGGAAAAGAGUAUGGAGAUUUCUCAAAGAACUAAAAACAGAACUACCUUUUGGCCAGAUGCAGUGGCUCACACCUAUAAUCCCAACAUUUGGGAAGGCUGAGGCAGGUGGAUUGCUUGAGCCCAGGAGUUCAAGAUCAGCCUGGGCAACAUGGUGAAACCCUAUCUCUACAAAAAAUACAGAAAAUUAGAUGAGACUACAGAUGGCACACAUCCAUAGUACCAGCUACUCCAGAGGCUGAGGCGGGAGGAUCGCUUGAGCCCAGGAGGUCCAGGCUACAGUGGGCCAAGAUCACGCCAUUGCACUCCAGCCUCAGUGAUAAAGUGACAUUCUGUCUCAAAAGAAAAAGAACUGGCCAAGCGUGGUGGCUCACGUCUGUAAUCCCAGCACUUUGGGAGGCCGAGGCAGGUGGAUCACAUGAGAUCAGGAGUUCGAGACUAGCCUGGCCAACAAUGAUGAAACCCCAUCUCUACUAAAAAUACAAUAAUUAGCUGGGUGUGGUGGCGGGUGCCUGUAAUCCCAGCUACUCAGGAGGCUGAGGCAGGAGAAUCAUUUGAACCCGGGAGUCAAAGUGAG
RNAcentral lists this long non-coding RNA (2350 nucleotides) under Pan troglodytes (chimpanzee). RNAcentral describes it as "long non-coding RNA NONPTRT003054". Lineage: Eukaryota; Metazoa; Chordata; Mammalia; Primates; Hominidae. The record is from RNAcentral.